AAAACUAAGUGAUGACUCCAUAGUUCAUCUGAAUGCCUUGAUGUACACACAUUUAUGUCUUUCGCUCCUAUCUGAUUACUUGU
Molecule: small nucleolar RNA, 83 nt
Organism: Trichoplusia ni (cabbage looper)
Lineage: Eukaryota; Metazoa; Arthropoda; Insecta; Lepidoptera; Noctuidae
Product: small nucleolar RNA snR60/Z15/Z230/Z193/J17
Exons: 1
Source: RefSeq, a predicted model, not a curated record